This 1129-nucleotide ribosomal RNA is filed under the name Salmonella enterica. RNAcentral's name for it is "partial 23S ribosomal RNA". It matches the Rfam family "Bacterial large subunit ribosomal RNA", at positions 592 to 1637 of the family's 2925-position model. RNAcentral also lists the same sequence under 1 other name. The record is from RNAcentral. Lineage: Bacteria; Pseudomonadati; Pseudomonadota; Gammaproteobacteria; Enterobacterales; Enterobacteriaceae.
UGUGACUGCGUACCUUUUGUAUAAUGGGUCAGCGACUUAUAUUCUGUAGCAAGGUUAACCGUAUAGGGGAGCCGUAGGGAAACCGAGUCUUAACCGGGCGUUAAGUUGCAGGGUAUAGACCCGAAACCCGGUGAUCUAGCCAUGGGCAGGUUGAAGGUUGGGUAACACUAACUGGAGGACCGAACCGACUAAUGUUGAAAAAUUAGCGGAUGACCUGUGGCUGGGGGUGAAAGGCCAAUCAAACCGGGAGAUAGCUGGUUCUCCCCGAAAGCUAUUUAGGUAGCGCCUCGUGAAUUCAUCUCCGGGGGUAGAGCACUGUUUCGGCUAGGGGGCCAUCCCGGCUUACCAACCCGAUGCAAACUGCGAAUACCGGAGAAUGUUAUCACGGGAGACACACGGCGGGUGCUAACGUCCGUCGUGAAGAGGGAAACAACCCAGACCGCCAGCUAAGGUCCCAAAGUCAUGGUUAAGUGGGAAACGAUGUGGGAAGGCCCAGACAGCCAGGAUGUUGGCUUAGAAGCAGCCAUCAUUUAAAGAAAGCGUAAUAGCUCACUGGUCGAGUCGGCCUGCGCGGAAGAUGUAACGGGGCUAAACCAUGCACCGAAGCUGCGGCAGCGAACGUAUCACCCAAGACAACUUUACGGAGUUGACGAUUGACGGAGCGAAGCGACGUCAAAGCGUUCAUUAAAGUCGAGUUGGCUUAGGGAUACGUUCGUUGGGUAGGGGAGCGUUCUGUAAGCCUGUGAAGGUGUGUCGUGAGGCAUGCUGGAGGUAUCAGAAGUGCGAAUGCUGACAUAAGUAACGAUAAAGCGGGUGAAAAGCCCGCUCGCCGGAAGACCAAGGGUUCCUGUCCAACGUUAAUCGGGGCAGGGUGAGUCGACCCCUAAGGCGAGGCCGAAAGGCGUAGUCGAUGGGAAACGGGUUAAUAUUCCCGUACUUGGUGUUACUGCGAAGGGGGGACGGAGAAGGCUAUGUUGGCCGGGCGACGGUUGUCCCGGUUUAAGCGUGUAGGUGUGUGUUCCAGGUAAAUCCGGUUCACUUUAACACUGAGGCGUGACGACGAGGCACUACGGUGCUGAAGCAACAAAUGCCCUGCUUCCAGGAAAAGCCUCUAAGCAUCAGGUAACAC